This 1766-nucleotide ribosomal RNA is filed under the name Escherichia coli. Its description in RNAcentral is "partial 23S ribosomal RNA". It matches the Rfam family "Bacterial large subunit ribosomal RNA", at positions 418 to 2167 of the family's 2925-position model. The record is from RNAcentral. Lineage: Bacteria; Pseudomonadati; Pseudomonadota; Gammaproteobacteria; Enterobacterales; Enterobacteriaceae.
CGGGACACGUGGUAUCCUGUCUGAAUAUGGGGGGACCAUCCUCCAAGGCUAAAUACUCCUGACUGACCGAUAGUGAACCAGUACCGUGAGGGAAAGGCGAAAAGAACCCCGGCGAGGGGAGUGAAAAAGAACCUGAAACCGUGUACGUACAAGCAGUGGGAGCACAGAGCAAUCUGUGUGACUGCGUACCUUUUGUAUAAUGGGUCAGCGACUUAUAUUCUGUAGCAAGGUUAACCGAAUAGGGGAGCCGAAGGGAAACCGAGUCUUAACUGGGCGUUAAGUUGCAGGGUAUAGACCCGAAACCCGGUGAUCUAGCCAUGGGCAGGUUGAAGGUUGGGUAACACUAACUGGAGGACCGAACCGACUAAUGUUGAAAAAUUAGCGGAUGACUUGUGGCUGGGGGUGAAAGGCCAAUCAAACCGGGAGAUAGCUGGUUCUCCCCGAAAGCUAUUUAGGUAGCGCCUCGUGAAUUCAUCUCCGGGGGUAGAGCACUGUUUCGGCAAGGGGGUCAUCCCGACUUACCAACCCGAUGCAAACUGCGAAUACCGGAGAAUGUUAUCACGGGAGACACACGGCGGGUGCUAACGUCCGUCGUGAAGAGGGAAACAACCCAGACCGCCAGCUAAGGUCCCAAAGUCAUGGUUAAGUGGGAAACGAUGUGGGAAGGCCCAGACAGCCAGGAUGUUGGCUUAGAAGCAGCCAUCAUUUAAAGAAAGCGUAAUAGCUCACUGGUCGAGUCGGCCUGCGCGGAAGAUGUAACGGGGCUAAACCAUGCACCGAAGCUGCGGCAGCGACGCUUAUGCGUUGUUGGGUAGGGGAGCGUUCUGUAAGCCUGCGAAGGUGUGCUGUGAGGCAUGCUGGAGGUAUCAGAAGUGCGAAUGCUGACAUAAGUAACGAUAAAGCGGGUGAAAAGCCCGCUCGCCGGAAGACCAAGGGUUCCUGUCCAACGUUAAUCGGGGCAGGGUGAGUCGACCCCUAAGGCGAGGCCGAAAGGCGUAGUCGAUGGGAAACAGGUUAAUAUUCCUGUACUUGGUGUUACUGCGAAGGGGGGACGGAGAAGGCUAUGUUGGCCGGGCGACGGUUGUCCCGGUUUAAGCGUGUAGGCUGGUUUUCCAGGCAAAUCCGGAAAAUCAAGGCUGAGGCGUGAUGACGAGGCACUACGGUGCUGAAGCAACAAAUGCCCUGCUUCCAGGAAAAGCCUCUAAGCAUCAGGUAACAUCAAAUCGUACCCCAAACCGACACAGGUGGUCAGGUAGAGAAUACCAAGGCGCUUGAGAGAACUCGGGUGAAGGAACUAGGCAAAAUGGUGCCGUAACUUCGGGAGAAGGCACGCUGAUAUGUAGGUGAAGUCCCUCGCGGAUGGAGCUGAAAUCAGUCGAAGAUACCAGCUGGCUGCAACUGUUUAUUAAAAACACAGCACUGUGCAAACACGAAAGUGGACGUAUACGGUGUGACGCCUGCCCGGUGCCGGAAGGUUAAUUGAUGGGGUCAGCGCAAGCGAAGCUCUUGAUCGAAGCCCCGGUAAACGGCGGCCGUAACUAUAACGGUCCUAAGGUAGCGAAAUUCCUUGUCGGGUAAGUUCCGACCUGCACGAAUGGCGUAAUGAUGGCCAGGCUGUCUCCACCCGAGACUCAGUGAAAUUGAACUCGCUGUGAAGAUGCAGUGUACCCGCGGCAAGACGGAAAGACCCCGUGAACCUUUACUAUAGCUUGACACUGAACAUUGAGCCUUGAUGUGUAGGAUAGGUGGGAGGCUUUGAAGUGUGG